Molecule: ribosomal RNA, 699 nt
Filed under: uncultured Ruminococcus sp.
Lineage: Bacteria; Bacillati; Bacillota; Clostridia; Eubacteriales; Oscillospiraceae
Description: bacterial SSU rRNA
Rfam family: Bacterial small subunit ribosomal RNA
Source: RNAcentral
UGGCUCAGGACGAACGCUGGCGGCACGCUUAACACAUGCAAGUCGAACGAGCGAAAGAGUGCUUGCACUCUCUAGCUAGUGGCGGACGGGUGAGUAACACGUGAGCAAUCUGCCUUUCGGAGAGGGAUACCAAUUGGAAACGAUUGUUAAUACCUCAUAACAUAACGAAGCCGCAUGACUUUGUUAUCAAAUGAAUUUCGCCGAAAGAUGAGCUCGCGUCUGAUUAGGUAGUUGGUGAGGUAACGGCCCACCAAGCCGACGAUCAGUAGCCGGACUGAGAGGUUGAACGGCCACAUUGGGACUGAGACACGGCCCAGACUCCUACGGGAGGCAGCAGUGGGGAAUAUUGCACAAUGGGCGAAAGCCUGAUGCAGCGAUGCCGCGUGAGGGAAGAAGGUUUUAGGAUUGUAAACCUCUGUCUUUGGGGACGAUAAUGACGGUACCCAAGGAGGAAGCUCCGGCUAACUACGUGCCAGCAGCCGCGGUAAUACGUAGGGAGCGAGCGUUGUCCGGAAUUACUGGGUGUAAAGGGAGCGUAGGCGGGAUUCAAGUCAGGUGUGAAAUUUAGGGGCUUAACCCCUGAACUGCACUUGAAACUGUAGUUCUUGAGUGAAGUAGAGGUAAGCGGAAUUCCUAGUGUAGCGGUGAAAUGCGUAGAUAUUAGGAGGAACAUCAGUGGCGAAGGCGGCUUACUGGGCU